GCACGGUGGCCGGGUGGAACGGCGGCUGCGCACCGGCGACGGGCGUACCGAGGUGCACGUCAUCCGGUUCGACACCCGGGCCGGGUAC
RNAcentral lists this transfer RNA (88 nucleotides) under Micromonospora gifhornensis. Its description in RNAcentral is "tRNA-Arg". The record is from RNAcentral. Lineage: Bacteria; Bacillati; Actinomycetota; Actinomycetes; Micromonosporales; Micromonosporaceae.